AUUGAACGCUGGCGGCAGGCCUAACACAUGCAAGUCGAGCGGAAACGAGUUAUCUGAACCUUCGGGGGACGAUAACGGCGUCGAGCGGCGGACGGGUGAGUAAUGCCUAGGAAAUUGCCCUGAUGUGGGGGAUAACCAUUGGAAACGAUGGCUAAUACCGCAUGAUGCCUACGGGCCGAAGAGGGGGACCUUCGGGCCUCUCGCGUCAGGAUAUGCCUAGGUGGGAUUAGCUAGUUGGUGAGGUAAGGGCUCACCAAGGCGACGAUCCCUAGCUGGUCUGAGAGGAUGAUCAGCCACACUGGAACUGAGACACGGUCCAGACUCCUACGGGAGGCAGCAGUGGGGAAUAUUGCACAAUGGGCGCAAGCCUGAUGCAGCCAUGCCGCGUGUGUGAAGAAGGCCUUCGGGUUGUAAAGCACUUUCAGUCGUGAGGAAGGUAGUGUAGUUAAUAGCUGCAUUAUUUGACGUUAGCGACAGAAGAAGCACCGGCUAACUCCGUGCCAGCAGCCGCGGUAAUACGGAGGGUGCGAGCGUUAAUCGGAAUUACUGGGCGUAAAGCGCAUGCAGGUGGUUUGUUAAGUCAGAUGUGAAAGCCCGGGGCUCAACCUCGGAAUUGCAUUUGAAACUGGCAGACUAGAGUACUGUAGAGGGGGGUAGAAUUUCAGGUGUAGCGGUGAAAUGCGUAGAGAUCUGAAGGAAUACCGGUGGCGAAAGCGGCCCCCUGGACAGAUACUGACACUCAGAUGCGAAAGCGUGGGGAGCAAACAGG
Molecule: ribosomal RNA, 769 nt
Filed under: uncultured bacterium
Lineage: Bacteria
Description: bacterial SSU rRNA
Rfam family: Bacterial small subunit ribosomal RNA
Source: RNAcentral